CGUGUAGGCGGUUAUGUAAGUCAGAUGUGAAAGCCUCCCGCUUAACGGGAGAAGUGCAUUUGAAACUACAUGACUAGAGUACGGGAGAGGAGAGUGGAAUUCCCGGUGUAGAGGUGAAAUUCGUAGAUAUCGGGAGGAACACCAGUGGCGAAGGCGGCUCUCUGGCCUGAUACUGACGCUGAGACGCGAAAGCGUGGGGAGCAAACAGGAUUAGAUACCCUGGUAGUCCACGCCGUAAACGAUGGGCACUAGGUGUAGGAGGUAUUGACCCCUUCUGUGCCGAAGCUAACGCAUUAAGUGCCCCGCCUGGGGAGUACGGCCGCAAGGUUAAA
RNAcentral lists this ribosomal RNA (332 nucleotides) under uncultured bacterium. RNAcentral describes it as "bacterial SSU rRNA". It matches the Rfam family "Bacterial small subunit ribosomal RNA", at positions 568 to 898 of the family's 1533-position model. The record is from RNAcentral.